Molecule: ribosomal RNA, 482 nt
Filed under: uncultured bacterium
Lineage: Bacteria
Description: partial 16S ribosomal RNA
Rfam family: Bacterial small subunit ribosomal RNA
Source: RNAcentral
AUUGAACGCUGGCGGCAUGCUUUACACAUGCAAGUCGAACGGUAACAGGCCGCUAGGUGCUGACGAGUGGCGAACGGGUGAGUAAUGCAUCGGAACGUGCCCAGCCGUGGGGGAUAACUACUCGAAAGAGUAGCUAAUACCGCAUACGAUCUAUGGAUGAAAGCGGGGGACCGUAAGGCCUCGCGCGAUUGGAGCGGCCGAUGUCAGAGUAGGUAGUUGGUGGGGUAAAGGCUCACCAAGCCAACGAUCUGUAGCUGGUCUGAGAGGACGACCAGCCACACUGGGAGUGAGACACGGCCCAGACUCCUACGGGAGGCAGCAGUGGGGAAUUUUGGACAAUGGGCGCAAGCCUGAUCCAGCAAUGCCGCGUGCAGGAAGAAGGCCUUCGGGUUGUAAACUGCUUUUGUACGGAACGAAACGGCUCUGGUUAAUACCCGGGGCUAAUGACGGUACCGGAAGAAUAAGCACCGGCUAACUACGUG